ACGGAGAGUUUGAUCCUGGCUCAGGGUUAACGCUGGCGGUGCGCAUAACACAUGCAAGUCGAGCGAGGGCUCAUUUCCCGCAAGGGAGAUGAGUUCCUAGCGGCGAACGGGUGAGUAACACGUGGGCAACCUUUCCUAUCGCGGGGGAUAACAGCGGGAAACCGCUGCUAAUACCGCAUG
Molecule: ribosomal RNA, 180 nt
Filed under: Chloroflexota bacterium
Lineage: Bacteria; Bacillati; Chloroflexota
Description: Chloroflexi bacterium partial 16S ribosomal RNA
Rfam family: Bacterial small subunit ribosomal RNA
Source: RNAcentral